Suricata suricatta (meerkat) is the source of this 261-nucleotide long non-coding RNA. RefSeq lists it as uncharacterized. The record is from RefSeq and is a predicted model, not a curated record. The transcript is spliced from 3 exons. Lineage: Eukaryota; Metazoa; Chordata; Mammalia; Carnivora; Herpestidae.
CCAGAUCCCAGCCUAUGCAAUGCAAAAGGAAGAUUUCCAAUUGAACAUUUCGAGAACAUCUGACUCCAGAGGAAAUAGCAAAAACAGGAAGAAGUAAAUUGAGAAGACAUUUAAUGAACCCCAAUAAUCUGCCCAAAGUAGAAGAGUUGAGAACUGGACAUGCAGGAGGCCACAGGAAGCUAAAGGCAGUCUGCCGGUGCAGUACACAAAAAAAAGGAAUAAAGGAAAGUGGGGAAAUCGGCCAGCCUUGUCAAGUAUUCU